This 254-nucleotide ribosomal RNA is filed under the name uncultured bacterium. RNAcentral describes it as "partial 16S ribosomal RNA". It matches the Rfam family "Bacterial small subunit ribosomal RNA", at positions 524 to 776 of the family's 1533-position model. The record is from RNAcentral.
UACGGGGGGAGCAAGCGUUGUUCGGAUUUACUGGGCGUAAAGGGCGCGUAGGCGGUCAGCACAAGUCAGUUGUGAAAUCUCCGGGCUUAACUCGGAAAGGUCAACUGAUACUGUGCGACUAGAGUGCAGAAGGGGCAACUGGAAUUCUCGGUGUAGCGGUGAAAUGCGUAGAUAUCGAGAGGAACACCUGCGGCGAAGGCGGGUUGCUGGGCUGACACUGACGCUGAUGCGCGAAAGCGUGGGGAGCAAGCAGG